GGGUGGCGGACGGGUGAGUAACGCGUAAAGAACUUGCCUCACAGCUAGGGACAACAUUUAGAAAUGAAUGCUAAUACCUGAUAUUAUGAUUUUAAGGCAUCUUAGAAUUAUGAAAGCUAUAAGCACUGUGAGAGAGCUUUGCGUCCCAUUAGCUAGUUGGAGAGGUAACAGCUCACCAAGGCGAUGAUGGGUAGCCGGCCUGAGAGGGUGAACGGCCACAAGGGGACUGAGACACGGCCCUU
Molecule: ribosomal RNA, 242 nt
Filed under: uncultured bacterium
Lineage: Bacteria
Description: partial 16S ribosomal RNA
Rfam family: Bacterial small subunit ribosomal RNA
Source: RNAcentral